UUGGAGGGCAAGUCUGGUGCCAGCAGCCGCGGUAAUUCCAGCUCCAAUAGCGUAUAUUAAAGUUGUUGCAGUUAAAAAGCUCGUAGUUGAAUUUCGGGAUUAGUACGUUGGUCGUGCCUUCGGUACGUACUGGUGUUACUGAUUCCUACCUUCUGACGAACCAUCAUGUCAUUAAUUUGGUGUGGCGGGGAAUCAGGACUGUUACUUUGAAAAAAUUAGAGUGUUUAAAGCAGGCUCGCGCUUGAAUACAUUAGCAUGGAAUAAUGAAAUAGGACGUUGACCCUAUUUUGUUGGUUUCUAGGAUUGACGUAAUGAUUAAUAGGGAUAGUUGGGUGCAUUAGUAUUCAAUUGUCAGAGGUGAAAUUCUUGGAUUUAUUGAAGACUAACUACUGCGAAAGCAUUUGCCAAGGAUGUUUUCAUUAAUCAAGAACGAAAGUUAGGGGAUCGAAGACGAUCAGAUACCGUCGUAGUCUUAACCAUAAACUAUGCCGACUAGGGAUCGGAUGAUGUUAUUUUUAAUGACUCAUUCGGCGCCUUACGGGAAAC
RNAcentral lists this ribosomal RNA (546 nucleotides) under uncultured Glomeromycotina. RNAcentral's name for it is "SSU rRNA". It matches the Rfam family "Eukaryotic small subunit ribosomal RNA", at positions 548 to 1098 of the family's 1831-position model. The record is from RNAcentral. Lineage: Eukaryota; Fungi; Glomeromycota.